UACGGCCAGUACGCAUGUACACAUCAUUGCAAGUUCGUACAAGCUUCAAGCGACGUUGAUUGGUGCUUGCAUCAUGAUUUACAUUUGAGUGAGUGGCGAACUGGUGAGUAACACGUGGGAAACCUGCCCAGAAGCGGGGGAUAACACCUGGAAACAGAUGCUAAUACCGCAUAACAACUUGGACCGCAUGGUCCGAGUUUGAAAGAUGGCUUCGGCUAUCACUUUUGGAUGGUCCCGCGGCGUAUUAGCUAGAUGGUGGGGUAACGGCUCACCAUGGCAAUGAUACGUAGCCGACCUGAGAGGGUAAUCGGCCACAUUGGGACUGAGACACGGCCCAAACUCCUACGGGAGGCAGCAGUAGGGAAUCUUCCACAAUGGACGAAAGUCUGAUGGAGCAACGCCGCGUGAGUGAAGAAGGGUUUCGGCUCGUAAAACUCUGUUGUUAAAGAAGAACAUAUCUGAGAGUAACUGUUCAGGUAUUGACGGUAUUUAACCAGAAAGCCACGGCUAACUACGUGCCAGCAGCCGCGGUAAUACGUAGGUGGCAAGCGUUGUCCGGAUUUAUUGGGCGUAAAGCGAGCGCAGGCGGUUUUUUAAGUCUGAUGUGAAAGCCUUCGGCUCAACCGAAGAAGUGCAUCGGAAACUGGGAAACUUGAGUGCAGAAGAGGACAGUGGAACUCCAUGUGUAGCGGUGAAAUGCGUAGAUAUAUGGAAGAACACCAGUGGCGAAGGCGGCUGUCUGGUCUGUAACUGACGCUGAGGCUCGAAAGUAUGGGUAGCAAACAGGAUUAGAUACCCUGGUAGUCCAUACCGUAGACGAUGAAUGCUAAGUGUUGGAGGGUUUCCGCCCUUCAGUGCUGCAGCUAACGCAUUAAGCAUUCCGCCUGGGGAGUACGGCCGCAAGGCUGAAACUCAAAGGAAUUGACGGGGGCCCGCACAAGCGGUGGAGCAUGUGGUUUAAUUCGAAGCUACGCGAAGAACCUUACCAGGUCUUGACAUACUAUGCAAAUCUAAGAGAUUAGACGUUCCCUUCGGGGACAUGGAUACAGGUGGUGCAUGGUUGUCGUCAGCUCCUGUCCUGAGAUGUUGGGUUAAGUCCCGCAACCAGCGCAACCCUUAUAUUAGUUGCAGCAUUAAAUUGGGCCCUCUGGUGGAAAUGCCGGGGACAAACCCCAGAAAGAAGGGGG
Molecule: ribosomal RNA, 1187 nt
Filed under: Lactiplantibacillus plantarum
Lineage: Bacteria; Bacillati; Bacillota; Bacilli; Lactobacillales; Lactobacillaceae
Description: bacterial SSU rRNA
Rfam family: Bacterial small subunit ribosomal RNA
Source: RNAcentral